GAAUUAUUACCCAAAUGAGUUGAAAUCAAGGCUUGAGCAAUUUUAUAUUGGGACGCGCUAACAUUUAAUGCUUGCAAGAUACGAUUAUCUGAUAGCAACAGCAAAAUUUUAGUGGGAGAAAGGAACAGAGCAUGUGUAAUAGGGCUUAGUAUUUAAGUUUGAUUUGGGAGAAGAAGAGUGUUAUUUGUGUAGUAAAAUUGAAGCCAUGGAUGUAGUUGAGGAAGAUGUGUUAGGUGAAGUGACGACAGCAUUCAGGAGUAGAAGAACAAGAAGUGUUGCAUGGAGGAAAGCACAGCUUCAAGCAAUUCUCAAACUCCUUGAUGAAAAUGAAGAGGAGAUCUUUGAAGCACUUAGACAGGAUCUCGGAAAGCAUCCUGUUGAAUCUUAUCGUGAUGAAGUUGGUGUGGUGAGGAAAUCAGCUACCAAUGCUUUGCGCUGUGUUGAAAAGUGGAUGGCCCCUCAAAAGGCCCCAAUACCAUUAGUUCUCUUUCCUGCAAGAGGAGCAGUAGUAUCAGAGCCACUGGGAGUAGUGCUAAUAUUUGUGUCCUGGAAUUUUCCCAUCUCCCUAGCUUUAGACCCAGUGAUUGGAGCAAUCUCAGCUGGAAACGCAAUUGUCCUUAAACCUUCUGAGCUAGCACCAAAAUGCUCCUCCGUUCUGGCCAAUACAAUACCUCGUUACUUGGAUCCAGAAGCUAUUAAAGUUGUUGAAGGUGGACAUGAUGUAUCAGAACAACUACUGCAGCUAAAAUGGGAUAAGAUAUUUUUUACAGGUAGUCCACGAGUUGGCCGCCUCAUAAUGUCAGCAGCUGCAAAGCACUUAACACCUGUAACUCUUGAGCUGGGUGGAAAAUGUCCAACCAUCUUGGACAGGCUAUCUAAUUUCUCUGAUUUACAGGUGGCUGUCAAGAGGAUAGUGGGGGGCAAGUGGGGACCAUGCAAUGGACAAGCAUGCAUUGGAAUCGAUUAUGUGCUCGUGGAAACACAAUUUGCUCCAGUUCUGAUUGAACUAUUGGAGAAAUCCAUCAAGACAUUUUAUGGUGAGAACUUGAAAACUUUGGCAAAUCUUGCCAGAAUAGUGAACAAGCACCACUUUGAUAGAGUACACAAUCUUCUGAAAGACCCAAAAGUUGCAGCAUCUGUUGUUUAUGGAGGCUCAGUAGAUGAGGAAAAUAUGGCCAUUGAACCAACAAUUUUGUUGAAUCCUCCCCUUGAUGCUGAUAUCAUGAACGAAGAAAUAUUCGGCCCUUUGCUUCCAAUCAUCACACUAAAGAAUAUCGAAGAAAGCAUUCCGUUCAUAAACUCAAGGCCAAAACCUCUUGCAAUAUAUGCAUUUACCAAGAAUGAUUCGUUGAAGGAGAAAAUCUUGCAGGAAACAUCUUCCGGAAGUCUGACUUUUAAUGAUGCUAUGAUUCAGUUUCUAUGUGACACAUUACCAUUUGGAGGCGUUGGUCAGAGUGGUUACGGACGUUACCAUGGGAAGUUCACUUUUGACACAUUCAGUCAUGAAAAAGCAGUUCUACAUAGGAGCUUCUUAGUUGAGUUGGAAUCAAGGUAUCCUCCAUGGAAUGAUUUCAAGAUGGAGUUUGUUAGAUUGGCUUACAACUAUGACUAUCUUGGGAUGAUACUGCUCUUGCUGGGGUUGAGAGGACUAUUCAGAACAAACCGAAGGCAGUAGAAGAUAAAACUCUUCUCACUUAAAUAAGGUUAAUCCGUCAUAAAAGUGUCUAGAAAACUUAAUGUCAGUGAGAGAGCAAAAACUAUUUGAGGAUUAUUAUUUAUCAAUUGAGGUAGUCUUCUUUGUUUCUA
RNAcentral lists this unclassified non-coding RNA (1806 nucleotides) under Hevea brasiliensis (rubber tree). Lineage: Eukaryota; Viridiplantae; Streptophyta; Magnoliopsida; Malpighiales; Euphorbiaceae. The record is from RNAcentral.